This 1053-nucleotide ribosomal RNA is filed under the name Elachistocleis araios. RNAcentral's name for it is "partial large subunit ribosomal RNA". It matches the Rfam family "Bacterial large subunit ribosomal RNA", at positions 853 to 2606 of the family's 2925-position model. Lineage: Eukaryota; Metazoa; Chordata; Amphibia; Anura; Microhylidae. The record is from RNAcentral.
UUACUUAGAAAAAGGAUCUUAGUCCUACCUUAAGUUUUUUUAAUAGACAAAAUAACCCAUAAACUUAAGAGCCAUUCAAAUAGGGUACAGCCCAUUUGAAAUAGGAAACAACCUCCGACACAGGGUAAUAUACCUCAGCAUGUGCCAAAGUGGGCCUAAAAGCAGCCAACUUUUAAAAAGCGUUAAAGCUUUACCACAAGCUAUCAUAAUUUCAAAACCCCCCUAAAACCCUUAUACAAUACUAAGUAACUCUAUGACCCCAUAGAAAUUAUAAUGCUAAAACUAGUAAUAAGAAGAAGAACUUCUCCCAAAUAUAAGUGUAAGCCAAAAAGAACUACUCAUUGGCAAUUAACGCCCCUGAUCUCAAAGCAGCAACCCUACAAGAAAACCCUGCAAAAUACAUCGUUAACCUAACACAAGAACAUUUCGGGAAAGAUUAAAAGAAGUGGAAGGAACUCGGCAAACCUUGACCCCGCCUGUUUACCAAAAACAUCGCCUCCUGUAAUAAAUAGGAGGUCCAGCCUGCCCAGUGACUAAGUUAAACGGCCGCGGUACCCUAACCGUGCGAAGGUAGCGCAAUCACUUGUUCUUUAAAUGAGGACUAGUAUGAAUGGCAUCACGAGGGUUACACUGUCUCCCACCUCUAAUCAAUGAAACUAAUCCCCCCGUGAAGAAGCGGGGAUAAAACUAUAAGACGAGAAGACCCCAUGGAGCUUUAAACUCAACAUCAACCGCAAACCAACACACCACUAAAGUAAAGCGGACCUGACUGCUAGUUUUAGGUUGGGGUGACCGCGGAGCAUAAGACAACCUCCAUGAUGAAUGACAUCCUCUAAUCUAAGAGCCACAGCUCGAAGAAUCAAUAAAUUGACAUAAAUUGACCCAAAUAAAUUUGACCAACGAACCAAGUUACCCUGGGGAUAACAGCGCAAUCCAUUUCAAGAGCUCCUAUCGACAAAUGGGUUUACGACCUCGAUGUUGGAUCAGGGUAUCCCAGCGGUGCAGCCGCUGCUAAAGGUUCGUUUGNNCAACGAUUAAAACCCUACGNGAUCU